Long non-coding RNA from Ooceraea biroi (clonal raider ant), 1525 nucleotides. RefSeq lists it as uncharacterized. Lineage: Eukaryota; Metazoa; Arthropoda; Insecta; Hymenoptera; Formicidae. The record is from RefSeq and is a predicted model, not a curated record.
CACAUAUGUUAUAUACGUGCACAUGUUAAGAGAGACUAGUCUCUUUUAGACAUUGCGCAGUAAUUUAUUAUAUACAUAAUUCACUUUAGCACAGAGACAGUUUUACGCGUGACAUCGUGUCUUAAUUUUAUCGUAAUUUUUCUUCUGUUACGCAAAGCGAGACUACUUUACUAGCACACCGAUAAAUUUAGGCGCUUUAAACGGCACAACCCACUUGCGUAAAUUACGCAGCAUUCACAGAAUGGCAGAAGACGGCAUGCCGGAUGAGCUACAUUAGAAUCGUUAUUAUCACAGCAGAGCUAAUGGCCAGAUACAAUAAGAUGAUCCGCGUGCUCAUACCUUUCCACGGCUCAAAGGAGGAGAAAACUUUAAUCAAACAACCUGCUGGAUCAAGAUCGAGUGAUCGAUAAUUAAAGCGGCGCGAUACGAGAGCCUCAAAGUGGUGGAGGGCAGUCUCGCUGCUAGUCUAGAUCGGACUGUACCGCGACUUACAAGACGUUGAUGAGGUCUAUAUGAAAGAUGGGUCAGGGUCAUGCACAAUGCAACCGUGUACACACAACAACAAAACUUCCCGAUACCAUGCUGAAGCGCGAAGUGACACCUUUUAUUUCUUCAUAUAAAGUAAAAUCGAUAGAGGGUACAAUGAAUGCAGAAGAGGUUGCAACAUCCACUGGUUCAACAGCAACUCAAUAGCGAAUCCUGAUUUCCGUCAGCGUGCAGAUAUUGCUAACCGCCACGUAGACCUCAUUUUUCCUCAUUUGCAACAGAAUAAAGUGGAAGGUUUAAUCGUAAUGCCGAAGCGCAUCGGCUAAUGCUGUUCCGAAGGUUGCGAUCGAUAGAGACGACCUGACGUCACGGAAACGUCGCGGAAUUCAUUACACGGGCCAAGCCGCCCGCUUUAGCUGGGUGGGCUUAAAAAUUAAAAGGCUCUCAAACAAAAACUCCCUUUUUACUUUCAGCCUCGUGGGAUGUAAUCCCUCCGCCGCUAGUGGACCUCCCUGUGCCCGCCGGUUCCUUUCCCCCGAAUUUCGACGGUGGCCUGGAAACAAGCCCCGAGACUUCGUCCUCAGCAUCUUUACCUCGUCCGACGACGAGUAUCUCCUGUCCCGAAGCCGCGGAAUGGGCACGGUCGAUUCACCAAUCCACGCAAUGUACUUUUUCGCGCAGUCGAACGAACCCCUUUCGUCUUGUAACGCAUUACGUUCUGUUUGCGGGAGAUUUGGCACGCGAUACGGCAACGAAGGGUGAAUACUUUAUCGGAGCAACGGAUCUGUUCGAUUUCGCUUGACCGGACUAAAAGAAAAUUACGGAAAUAGAAACGAUAACUGACUAAUUUAUAUAAGAGCUUUUUGUGGGACUUUCAUGUAUUGUAUAUCCUGAAAGAGAAGAUUCCGGUAGAAUGGUUGCCAAUAAAAUGGAAUGGAAACUAAAAAGGGAAACAACGUGUUAGCAAAAAUAUCUGUAGUUUAUUUACAAGAAAAUAGGAAUAAGUAUGAUCUUUUAGAAUAAAGACUCAACAACAUUG